RNAcentral lists this ribosomal RNA (497 nucleotides) under uncultured bacterium. Its description in RNAcentral is "partial 16S ribosomal RNA". It matches the Rfam family "Bacterial small subunit ribosomal RNA", at positions 28 to 507 of the family's 1533-position model. The record is from RNAcentral.
GAUGAACGCUGGCGGCGUGCCUAAUACAUGCAAGUCGAGCGAACAGACGAGGAGCGUGCUCCUUUGACGGUAGCGAGGGACGGGCGAGUAACACGUGGAUAACCUACUUAUAUUACGGGGAUGAUAUCGGGAGACCGCAUACACUAACGGAGCAUAUGUUGAACGGCAUGAUGCAAUAGUGAAUGACGCCUUUGCUGUCUCUAAGAGAUGGAGCCGGGUCGCAUUAGCUAGUUGGUAAGGUAACGGCCUACCAAGGCAACGAUGCGUAGCUGACCUGAGAGGGUGAUCGGCCACACUGGAACUGAGACACGGUCCAGACUCCUACGGGAGGCAGCAGUAGGGAAUCUUCCACAAUGGGCGAAAGCCUGACCGAGCCACGCCGCGUGAGUGAUGAAGGUCUUCGGGUCGUAGAACUCUGUUAUUGGGAAAGAACAAAUGUGUAAGUAACUCUCCACGUCUUGACGGUACCUAAUCAGAAAGCCCCGGCUAACUUCGUG